This 332-nucleotide ribosomal RNA is filed under the name uncultured bacterium. Its description in RNAcentral is "bacterial SSU rRNA". It matches the Rfam family "Bacterial small subunit ribosomal RNA", at positions 568 to 898 of the family's 1533-position model. The record is from RNAcentral.
UGUGUAGGCGGCCAUUCAAGUCGGAUGUGAAAGCCCCGGGCUCAACCCGGGAAGUGCACCCGAAACUGGAUGGCUUGAGUAUCGGAGAGGUUGGUGGAAUUCUCGGUGUAGAGGUGAAAUUCGUAGAUAUCGAGAGGAACACCGGUGGCGAAGGCGGCCAACUGGACGAAUACUGACGCUGAGACACGAAAGCGUGGGGAGCAAACAGGAUUAGAUACCCUGGUAGUCCACGCCGUAAACGAUGGGUGCUAGGUGUCACGGGCAUUGACUCCCGUGGUGCCGUAGCCAACGCAUUAAGCACCCCGCCUGGGAAGUACGGCCGCAAGGCUAAA